Molecule: ribosomal RNA, 279 nt
Filed under: uncultured bacterium
Lineage: Bacteria
Description: partial 16S ribosomal RNA
Rfam family: Bacterial small subunit ribosomal RNA
Source: RNAcentral
UGCCAGCCGCCGCGGUAAUACGGAGGGUGCUAGCGUUGUUCGGAAUUACUGGGCGUAAAGCGCGCGUAGGCGGCUUAGUAAGUUGGAAGUGAAAUCCCGGGGCUUAACCUCGGAAUUGCUUUCAAAACUACUAAGCUAGAGUAUGGUAGGGGAAAGUGGAAUUCUUAGUGUAGGGGUGAAAUCCGUAGAUAUUAAGAGGAACACCAGAGGCGAAGGCGACUUUCUGGACCAUUACUGACGCUGAGGUGCGAAAGCGUGGGGAGCGAACGGGAUUAGAUA